GACAGGGUGAAAGCACCAAAGGUGAAGAAACGGAUGAUGCGCAGGUGUAUCAAAUUCAAAUGGAUUCAAACGAAGUGGAACUGGUAGAUCCCCUGCUCCGUGUAAUUGAAUAAUUCAAAUAUUUAAGGAAGCCUCUCAAUGAAGAAAUAUGAACAACAGAGAAGAGGAAAACUUUGGAAGAGAAGAAGACGUAGGUGAUUGAGCUGGCUUAUAUCGUCUCUAAUUGGGCCUCCUAUUCAUGCUCAAUUUUUUUCCAUUUCAUCAACUUCCAUCUUCACCGUCUCCACCAACCAAUACCCAUUUGAUUCCUUUAGCGCCCAUUCAACAAUCCAUCGAUUCCUCAAUCUCCUUAACCACUUGGACCGGUUAAUCUCUUGGUGCCCAUUCAUGGUGGUCGGGUUUGAAGUAAAGAGGCCGAAGGUGAUGUCCUGGGGAGUUGCUGCGCAUACAUAACACGUUUCAGGAAGUCUGCAUUAGAGAAAUCGAAGGAAAAAAAGAGAGUAAUGCAAUAUAGACGGUCACAUAGAUUCUCACUAACUUGGGUUCAUGAUAAUUUGCAGUACACAUAGCUUUGGGAGGUGAGACAAAAGACGAUACGCAGUGAAUUCUCGAGUUCUGUUGGUACUUACGUUAGCAAUAUAAGUAGAAGAGGUUUGAUAGCUGAAUAACUCGUCUAUACUUAGACGCUAGAAAAUGAAUGCCGCGAAAAGUUGUUAGCUUCGAAUUUUGCAAAACAUUAGGGAAUGCGGGAUGUUGAAUAAGCAGAAGCAAACUGGCAACCCAUGGACCAGUGACGAUCCAAGUGACCACCCUUUUUUUUUUUUCUUUCUUUUUUGCUCUCGUCAAUAGUCUUCCUUUGUGUUGGUCAUAUUUUCAAGCCUAAACUGUAACUAGGGAAUGUUGGUCCCUCAAAAGUAGAAAUUUUAGUUUAUAUUUUAUUUUAGUUUA
Nymphaea colorata (pocket water lily) is the source of this 948-nucleotide long non-coding RNA. RefSeq lists it as uncharacterized. The record is from RefSeq and is a predicted model, not a curated record. NCBI's taxonomy places the organism in Eukaryota, Viridiplantae, Streptophyta, Magnoliopsida, Nymphaeales, Nymphaeaceae. The transcript is spliced from 2 exons.